This 89-nucleotide non-coding RNA is filed under the name Noviluteimonas dokdonensis. RNAcentral describes it as "Lysobacter dokdonensis Glycine sequence". It matches the Rfam family "Glycine riboswitch aptamer". Rfam says of the family: This family represents the bacterial glycine riboswitch. RNAcentral also lists the same sequence under 1 other name. Lineage: Bacteria; Pseudomonadati; Pseudomonadota; Gammaproteobacteria; Lysobacterales; Lysobacteraceae. The record is from RNAcentral.
ACCUGUCGCGUGGGAGAGACCGGCCGAGCGCCGGCGCCGAAGGAGCAACCGCCCCGGAAACUCUCAGGCAAAAGGACCUCGCGGCAGAC